Molecule: ribosomal RNA, 360 nt
Filed under: Triticum aestivum (bread wheat)
Lineage: Eukaryota; Viridiplantae; Streptophyta; Magnoliopsida; Poales; Poaceae
Description: partial small subunit ribosomal RNA
Source: RNAcentral
AUGUUACGGGAGAGAUGUGGCCUCCGUGAUAGUGUAUAUGUGACUGUGGAAGAGAAAGUUGCAAUGUUCUUACUUGUAGUUGGCCAUAGUAUCAAGAUGAGGAUGUUGCGUGGCACCUACAAGCGUUCUUUAUGGACCAUUAGUACACACUUCUCUGCUGUCCUAACAGCCCUACUCUCUCUAUAUGAGGAGUUCAUUAAGCUACCUUCCGCUACCGCUCAAGCUCCUGAUGAGUACAAAUGGAAGUGGUUUGGUAAUGCACUUGGAGCACUAGAUGGUUGCCAUAUUGACGUGCUUGUUGAUGUGGCUGACCAAGGAAGGUAUAUGAACAGAAAGCAAGCCAUUACCACUAACAUGCUA